ACGAACGCUGGCGGCAUGCCUAACACAUGCAAGUCGAACGAGACCUUCGGGUCUAGUGGCGCACGGGUGCGUAACGCGUGGGAACCUGCCCUUAGGUUCGGAAUAACUCCCCGAAAGGGGUGCUAAUACCGGAUAAUGUCUUCGGACCAAAGAUUUAUCGCCUUUGGAUGGGCCCGCGUUGGAUUAGCUAGUUGGUAGGGUAAAAGCCUACCAAGGCGACGAUCCAUAGCUGGUCUGAGAGGAUGAUCAGCCACACUGGGACUGAGACACGGCCCAGACUCCAAGGGGAGGGGGAAGGGGGGAAGUAGGAAGAGGGCGAAAAAAGUGCACCCAAAAGAGCCGCGGGAGGAAAGAAGCUGUAGGGUUUGAAAGCCCUUUAAACCAGGGAUAAUAAUCAGAGUCCGGGAAAAUAAACCCCCGACAAUCGCCAGC
RNAcentral lists this ribosomal RNA (432 nucleotides) under uncultured bacterium. RNAcentral describes it as "partial 16S ribosomal RNA". It matches the Rfam family "Bacterial small subunit ribosomal RNA", at positions 29 to 508 of the family's 1533-position model. The record is from RNAcentral.